This 441-nucleotide ribosomal RNA is filed under the name uncultured bacterium. RNAcentral describes it as "partial 16S ribosomal RNA". It matches the Rfam family "Bacterial small subunit ribosomal RNA", at positions 338 to 795 of the family's 1533-position model. The record is from RNAcentral.
CCUACGGGAGGCAGCAGUGGGGGAUAUUGCACAAUGGGGGAAACCCUGAUGCAGCGACGCCGCGUGGGUGAAGAAGUAUUUCGGUAUGUAAAGCCCUAUCAGCAGGGAAGAAAGAAGACGGUACCUGACUAAGAAGCCCCGGCUAACUACGUGCCAGCAGCCGCGGUAAUACGUAGGGGGCGAGCGUUAUCCGGAUUCACUGGGUGUAAAGGGAGCGUAGACGGCCGUGCAAGCCAGGAGUGAAAGCCCGGGGCCCAACCCCGGGACUGAUCUUGGGACUGUGCGGCUGGAGUGCGGGAGGGGCAGGCGGAAUUCCUGGUGUAGCGGUGAAAUGCGUAGAUAUCAGGAGGAACACCGGCGGCGAAGGCGGCCUGCUGGACCGCGACUGACGUUGAGGCUCGAAAGCGUGGGGAGCGAACAGGAUUAGAUACCCUGGUAGUC